This 465-nucleotide ribosomal RNA is filed under the name uncultured bacterium. Its description in RNAcentral is "partial 16S ribosomal RNA". It matches the Rfam family "Bacterial small subunit ribosomal RNA", at positions 28 to 507 of the family's 1533-position model. The record is from RNAcentral.
GACGAACGCUGGCGGCGUGCUUAACACAUGCAAGUCGAACGGAAAGGCCCCUUUGGGGGUACUCGUGAGGCGCACGGGUGAGUAACACGUGUGUAACCUGCCCUGGACUUCGGGAUAACCUCAGGAAAAUGGGGCUAAUACCGGCUUGGAAUCCUUGCGGCAUGGUGGGGGUUGGUAAGCUUCGGCGGUUUUGGAUGAGCUCGCGGCUUAUAAGCUUGUUGGUGGGGUAGUGGCUUACCAAGGCUUUGACGGGUAACUGGCCUGAGAGGGUGACCGGCCACACUGAGACUGAGAUACGGCCCAGACUCCUACGGGAGGAAGCAGGGGGGAAGAUUGAACAAUGGGCGGAAGCCUGAUGCAGCAACGCCGCGGGCGGGAUGACGGCCUUCGGGUUGUGAACCGCUUUCAGCAGGAGCGAAGCUUGUGGUGACGGUACCUGCAGAAGAAGCACCGGCUAACUACGUG